GAGAAAAAGGGCUCAGGACUGAGGAGUGAAGAGCUCCAGGGAUUUCACUCUUCUUUGUGUGUGUGAAGGAAGGCAGGUUUAUUUGCAAGAUGGGUUUGAGGGAAUUAAGGAUAAAGUCUGCUGAAAGUAGCACCAGCCUCUGGAUUAAAAGGGAUGUUUGGAUGAAGCUUCAAUCUCAAGAAGAGGCAAGAGAAAACUAAAGAAAAAGGUACUAGAUUCUGAGGUCUGAGACUAAAGUCAUUCCAUCAUGAGUUCCAAACUGGACUUGAGAGGGGAAGAAUCAUUUCCUUUGAGAUUGACCAAUACCAGGAGUUUCACUAAAGAAGGCAAUGAAAGACCCACAGCCUUGGACAUAAUUGAUUUCCUGUGAUAUCUGUGUGGGCCCAGGCAUGCUGCUCACCUGGGUCUUUCCCCUCUUUCACUCCUUUGGAACUGCCCCACCACUAACCACUUUCCUACUCUCUCCUUCCCCACCCCAGUAUCUCCUUGCCUCAAGAGUUUCCUGUUACUAGCAAUAAUUUAGUUCACUCCCAGGGAACUACUAUUUCUGGUUCUCAGUUACUAACCUUUCCAUUCAGUUCUUUCCAUUCCAUUUUUACCAGAAUUAACGUUUCCUCAUCUUUCCCAGUGAAUGUAAAAGGUACCUUCUGGGAAGCAUUUUACCGGAACUGAUGACUGCUAUGCUUGACAGCAGCUUCAACAGCCUCGGAUACAACUCAUCAUGAAUUAGCUCUGGCAUGACUGAGUUAGAAUACUGUUCUGUUUCCUAUCUCUACAUGUAGGAAAAAUUUAAAGUGGCAUUUCUAUGCUUUGGUCUUUUCUCAUAAAUGACUUAGGGGAAAACACUUAAUGAGGAUGAGUAACUAAAAUUCAAUGAAUACUAAAAGCUUUAUAAGAAUCAUCUAAUUGAAACUUUACAUAAUUUCCUUAUUAUGUAUUAACAUUGAACGGGCAUUAUGCAUUCCAUUUCUAGAAAAGAAGUCUUUCCUUAAUAAAUUACAAGUGCAAACAUGAAGUCCAGGACAAUUUUUACUUCAAGAUCAACUUGUCUAUAUGCUAGGAUAAUGAAUUUGAAUACUCUUUACUGAUGUUCCCUGAAGACGUAGCUAUUUUGUUUUCUAUAAUGAUAUUAUUUUCUUGAGUCUCCAUUCUGUUGGGUACUGUAGAAAGAAGACAAAAAGCAAACAAUAUAAUAUACCAAUUAAAGGUAUCUUAGUUUUUUU
Molecule: long non-coding RNA, 1223 nt
Filed under: Homo sapiens (human)
Lineage: Eukaryota; Metazoa; Chordata; Mammalia; Primates; Hominidae
Description: HSALNT0343858
Source: RNAcentral